Molecule: ribosomal RNA, 468 nt
Filed under: uncultured bacterium
Lineage: Bacteria
Description: bacterial SSU rRNA
Rfam family: Bacterial small subunit ribosomal RNA
Source: RNAcentral
GUUCCAGACUCCUACGGGAGGCAGCAGUGAGGAAUAUUGGUCAAUGGGCGCGAGCCUGAACCAGCCAAGUCGCGUGAGGGAUGACGGCCCUACGGGUUGUAAACCUCUUUUGUCGGGGAGCAAAUUCCGUUACGUGUAACGGAGUCGAGAGUACCCGAAGAAAAAGCAUCGGCUAACUCCGUGCCAGCAGCCGCGGUAAUACGGAGGAUGCGAGCGUUAUCCGGAUUUAUUGGGUUUAAAGGGUGCGUAGGCGGAACAUUAAGUCAGCGGUAAAAUCGAGGGGCUCAACCCCGGCCUGCCGUCGGAACUGGGUGCCUUGAGUGGGCGAGAAGUAUGCGGAAUGCGUGGUGUAGCGGUGAAAUGCAUAGAUAUCACGCAGAACCCCGAUUGCGAAGGCAGCAUACCGGCGCCCUACUGACGCUGAGGCACGAAAGCGUGGGUAUCGAACAGGAUUAGAUACCCGGGUAC